AGAGUUUGAUCAUGGCUCAGAGCGAACGCUGGCGGCAGGCUUAACACAUGCAAGUCUAACGGACGCAGCAAUGCGUCAGUGGCAGACGGGUGAGUAACACGUGGGAACGUGCCCUUCGGUUCGGAACAACCCAGGGAAACUUGGGCUAAUACCGGAUACGUCCGCAAGGAGAAAGAUUUAUCGCCGAAGGAUCGGCCCGCGUCUGAUUAGCUUGUUGGUGAGGUAACGGCUCACCAAGGCGACGAUCAGUAGCUGGUCUGAGAGGAUGAUCAGCCACACUGGGGCUGAGACACGGCCCAGACUCCUACGGGAGGCAGCAGUGGGGAAUAUUGGACAAUGGGCGCAAGCCUGAUCCAGCCAUGCCGCGUGGGUGAUGAAGGCCUUAGGGUUGUAAAGCCCUUUCGGCGGGGAAGAUAAUGACGGUACCCGCAGAAGAAGCCCCGGCUAACUUCGUGCCAGCAGCCGCGGUAAUACGAAGGGGGUUAGCGUUGCUCGGAAUCACUGGGCGUAAAGCGCACGUAGGCGGAUUGCUAAGUCAGGGGUGAAAUCCUGGAGCUCAACUCCAGAACUGCCCUUGAUACUGGCGACCUUGAGUCCGGGAGAGGUGAGUGGAACUGCGAGUGUAGAGGUGAAAUUCGUAGAUAUUCGCAAGAACACCAGUGGCGAAGGCGGCUCACUGGCCCGGUACUGACGCUGAGGUGCGAAAGCGUGGGGAGCAAACAGGAUUAGAUACCCUAGUAGUCC
RNAcentral lists this ribosomal RNA (744 nucleotides) under uncultured bacterium. RNAcentral's name for it is "bacterial SSU rRNA". It matches the Rfam family "Bacterial small subunit ribosomal RNA", at positions 8 to 796 of the family's 1533-position model. The record is from RNAcentral.